UUGUUGAUCGAUUUCGCGCAUAGUCCAUCUUUCGUAAUUGUGUGUUGUUGAUCCAAAUUCGAAAUUCUUUGUUUGAAUCUAUUUUGAGCCCUUUUUUCUUGUGUCUUUGUACUAACCCUUUCAUAUUUUGUGACUGACUUUGACGCACUCCACUCCACAUCACUGAAACACGCACUCUUUUAUGCUGAACAUAUCGUGAAAUUCUGGAACUACCGCUUUUCCGAGGACAGGGAGAACAAACCCGCGGUCUACCGAACAACCUCAACAAACUUCUCCAACUGCGACGUGCUCAAGGAAAAGUUCGAACAAGUGCUCU
Molecule: long non-coding RNA, 316 nt
Organism: Culex pipiens pallens (northern house mosquito)
Lineage: Eukaryota; Metazoa; Arthropoda; Insecta; Diptera; Culicidae
Exons: 3
Source: RefSeq, a predicted model, not a curated record